RNAcentral lists this ribosomal RNA (1386 nucleotides) under uncultured Microgenomates group bacterium. Its description in RNAcentral is "uncultured Microgenomates bacterium 16S ribosomal RNA". It matches the Rfam family "Bacterial small subunit ribosomal RNA". The record is from RNAcentral.
AGAGUUUGAUCCUGGCUCAGGACGAUCGUUGGCUGUGUGCCUAAGGUAUGCAAGUCGAACGAACCCUUUUGAAUUACUUGAAACUUCGGUUGAUUGUUUUUCUUUUUUGGGUUAGUGGCAAACGGGUGAGUAACACGUGGAUAACCUGCCUUGAAGUCAUGAACAGCUCAUCGAAAGAUGGGAUAAUACAUGAUAGUCUUACAUCUUCUUUAGAUCUUGUAAGUAAAGUUACGGCGCUUCAAGAGGGGUCCGCGUCCUAUCAGCUAGUUGGUGAGGUAAUGGCUCACCAAGGCAAUGACGGGUAGGCGGAGUGAGAGCUUGACCGCCAACAAUGGCACUGAGACACGGGCCAUACUCCUACGGGAGGCAGCAGUCGAGAAUAUUUGACAAUGGGCGAAAGCCUGAUCAAGCGACGUCGCGUGUGGGAUUAAGAUCUUCGGAUUGUAAACCACUUUUCUAGGGGAAGAACUUUGACUGUACCCUAGGAAUAAGGGGUGACUAAACUCGUGCCAGCAGUAGCGGUAAUACGAGUGCCCCAAGCGUUAUCCGGAUUUAUUGGGCGUAAAGGGUCUGUAGGUGGUUUGUUAAGUUUCUCGUUAAAGCUCCAGGGCUUAACCUUGGAAAAGCGGGAAAAACUGGCAAACUAGAGGAUGUUAGAGGCUGAUGGAACACUUGGUGAAGGGGUGGAAUCCGUUGAUAUCAAGUGGAACACCGAAAGCGAAAGCAAUCAGCUGGGACAGUCCUGACACUGAAAGACGAAAGCGUGGGGAGAGAAAAGGAUUAGAUACCCUUGUAUUCCACGCCUUAAACGAUGAAUACUAGCUAUUGCAAGUGUCGACCCUUGCAGUGGCGAAGCUAACGCGUUAAGUAUUCCGCCUGGGAAGUACGGCCGCAAGGCUAAAACUCAAAGGAAUAGACGGGGACCUACACAAGCGGUGGAUCACGUGGCUUAAUUCGAUAAUAAGCGAGGAACCUUACCAGGGCUUGAAAGGUUAAUGAAAGCAUUUCGAAAGAUUUGCCUACCCACAAGGACAUUAACCCAGGUGCUGCAUGGUUGUCGUCAGCAGGUGGCUUGAGUUGCUCCCUUAAAUGGGGUAACCUGCGCAACCCUUGCUCUAUGUUUCAUGUGUCAUAGAGGACUGCCUGGGACAACCAGGAGGAAGGUGAGGAUGACGCCAAAUCAGCAUGGCCCUUUGAUGUCCUGGGCUGCACACGUGAUACAAUGGGAUUGACAACGGGAAGCGAAAGAGUAAUCUGGAGCAAAUCCUAUCAAACAAUUCCUCAAUUCGGAUUGAGGUCUGAAACUCGACCUCAUGAAGUCGGAAUCGCUAGUAACCGCAGAUCAGCCAUGCUGCGGUGAAUAUGUCCCUGGGUCUUGUACACACC